UCUUCUUCUAGCCGAAUCGAGCUUUAUUGAAACGCCGGAAACAAACAGGGACAGAGUUGAGGGAGUGGCUGCCGGGGCGGGAAUAGCGGGGUGACGUCACGCGCCGGCGGGGCGCGCUUUCUAGUUGCUUGUUCUUCACCUGUGCCUUGGGUCUCCUCUGGAGUAUUCAGAAAAAGUGAGCUCCUGGGGCCCUGCCCUUAAGGAGUCUACUGAGUGCAGGAGGAGAGCAGGCAUUAAUCAAGUAACAAAUGGAAGAAUUGUAAGACGGCUAUGGGCACCAAGGAAGGAAUAACCAAGAAGUGAAAGACAUGUGGAAACAUGAGUGAUGAGUUGGUUAACCAUUAGUGAAGUUGGGGUAUGUACCCGGCACGUGAAGCCCUGGCCUAUGGCGUGGCCUUCCUAGUUCUGGGUUUAAUGAAGACCUCAAACAUUAAUGUUGGAAGGAUCAUUCAGAACCAUCAGCGUUUCUUAAGGCAGCUCUGUGGCAUUUGAAGCAAGACUUUUCCUCGUUUUCAGGACUGCCUCAGGAUCCUGGAGGAUGCCAGCUCCUAAGUAAGCCCAGUCCUGUUUCCUGUCGGCUGCCCUGCACUCUCUGGACCAUGGGAAUGCCUGCACGCCUGCAGCUCACACCUACACAGUCCGGAGCUCAGGUGUCCACAGGCCAUAUCCUGAAGAAAUCUAUGCCACACAAAGAUGAGAUGAAGGAGAAGAAUUUGAGAAGGAGAACCUGGAGCCAGGGAUGGGACUGAACACUGGUCUCCAAGAGGCUGGGGAAGUGCGAGUAGAGAGUCUGGAGCAAGUCAUGAAGGAAAAAGCCAGCCCCGUACCAGUGAGUGAGUCCAGGUGCAAAGCUCAAAGGUGAGUGCAGAACC
Long non-coding RNA from Bubalus bubalis (water buffalo), 872 nucleotides. RefSeq lists it as uncharacterized. The transcript is spliced from 3 exons. NCBI's taxonomy places the organism in Eukaryota, Metazoa, Chordata, Mammalia, Artiodactyla, Bovidae. The record is from RefSeq and is a predicted model, not a curated record.